Molecule: ribosomal RNA, 400 nt
Filed under: uncultured bacterium
Lineage: Bacteria
Description: bacterial SSU rRNA
Rfam family: Bacterial small subunit ribosomal RNA
Source: RNAcentral
UAGGGAAUAUUGGGCAAUGGAAGGAAUUCUGACCCAGCCAUGCCGCGUGCAGGAUGAAGGCGCUAUGCGUUGUAAACUGCUUUUGUCAGGGAAGAAAACGGCUAUGCGUAGCAACUUGACGGUACCUGAAGAAUAAGCAUCGGCUAACUCCGUGCCAGCAGCCGCGGUAAUACGGAGGAUGCAAGCGUUGUCCGGAUUUAUUGGGUUUAAAGGGUGCGUAGGCGGUCUUAUAAGUCAGUGGUUAAAUUACCUUGCUUAACGAGGGAUAUGCCAUUGAUACUGUUAGACUUGAAUACUGUUUGGGUAGGCGGAAUUGGUAGUGUAGCGGUGAAAUGCUUAGAUAUUACCAGGAACACCGAUAGCGAAGGCAGCUUACUGAAGAGAUAUUGACGCUGAGGCA